UACGGAGGGUGCGAGCAUUAAUCGGAUUUAUUGGGCGUAAAGGGCGCGUAGGCGGGAAUGUAAGUCAGAUGUGAAAUCCCGGGGCUCAACCCCGGAACAGCAUUUGAAACUGCAUACCUAGAGGGUAGUCGGAGAAAACAGAAUUCCACAAGUAGCGGUGAAAUGCGUAGAUAUGUGGAAGAAUACCGGUGGCGAAGGCGGUUUUCUAGAUUAUACCUGACGCUGAGGCGCGAAAGCAAGGGGAUCAAACAGG
Molecule: ribosomal RNA, 253 nt
Filed under: uncultured bacterium
Lineage: Bacteria
Description: partial 16S ribosomal RNA
Rfam family: Bacterial small subunit ribosomal RNA
Source: RNAcentral